Molecule: ribosomal RNA, 94 nt
Filed under: Clostridiales bacterium
Lineage: Bacteria; Bacillati; Bacillota; Clostridia; Eubacteriales
Source: RNAcentral
UACACCUGUUCCCAUCCCGAACACAGCCGUUAAGUCCUCUAGCGCUGACAAUACUUGGCGGGCAGCCGCCUGGGAAGAUAGGACGUCGCAAAUU